This 464-nucleotide ribosomal RNA is filed under the name uncultured bacterium. RNAcentral's name for it is "partial 16S ribosomal RNA". It matches the Rfam family "Bacterial small subunit ribosomal RNA", at positions 338 to 795 of the family's 1533-position model. The record is from RNAcentral.
CCUACGGGUGGCUGCAGUAGGGAAUUUUCGGCAAUGGGCGCAAGCCUGAACGAGCAAUGCCGCGUGAACGAGGAAGGUCUUCGGAUCGUAAAGUUCUGUUGAAGGGGAAAAAGAGCGGAGAGAGGAAAUGGUCUCCGAUUGAUAUUACCCUUCGAGGAAGUCACGGAUAACUACGUGCCAGCAGCCGCGGUAAUACGUAGGUGGCGAGCGUUAUCCGGAAUGAUUGGGCGUAAAGGGUGCGUAGGCGGACUGCUAAGCCUGGAGUGAAAGGUGCCGGCUCAACCGGGAUAGGCACUGGAUACUGGCGGGCUAGAGAGCAGGAGAGGGCGGUGGAACUCCAGGUGUAGCGGUAAAAUGCGUAGAUAUAUGGAAGAACACCAGUGGCGAAGGCGGCCGCCUGGCCUGUUACUGACGCUGAGGCACGAAAGCGUGGGGAGCAAAUAGGAUUAGAUACCCGAGUAGUC